UACGGGGGGGGCUAGCGUUGUUCGGAAUUACUGGGCGUAAAGGGCGCGUAGGCGGUUCAUUAAGUUGGAUGUGAAAACUCUGGGCUUAACCCAGAGCCUGCAUUCAAAACUGAUGGGCUGGAGUUCUGGAGGGGAUAGCGGAAUUCCAGGUGUAACGGUGAAAUGCGUAGAGAUCUGGAGGAACACCGAUGGCGAAGGCAGCCUUCUGGGCCAACACUGACGCUCAUGCACGAAAGCGUGGGGAGCAAACAGG
This 253-nucleotide ribosomal RNA is filed under the name uncultured bacterium. RNAcentral's name for it is "partial 16S ribosomal RNA". It matches the Rfam family "Bacterial small subunit ribosomal RNA", at positions 524 to 776 of the family's 1533-position model. The record is from RNAcentral.